AUUCCGUAGGUGAACCUGCGGAAGGAUCAUUAAUGAGUUGUCAUGGGGUUCGAUGCUGGCAGCCAAUUUUUGGAUGCAUGUGCUUGCCCUAACAAUCAUCUUCCAAACACCUGUGCACAUUUUUGAGGGAGUCUUGAGUUGGUUGCCGCUCUUGGGUGAUUUUCUCACAUUCCCUUAAAUCAUUAUACGCUAUUAACAAUGUUGAACGUGCUCUGUGCCGCAAGGCUAUUAAUAUAAUACAACUUUUAACAACGGAUCUCUUGGCUCUC
This 269-nucleotide unclassified non-coding RNA is filed under the name plant metagenome. RNAcentral's name for it is "partial contains small subunit ribosomal RNA, internal transcribed spacer 1, and 5.8S ribosomal RNA". The record is from RNAcentral.